This 78-nucleotide transfer RNA is filed under the name Candidatus Fermentithermobacillaceae bacterium. RNAcentral describes it as "tRNA-Arg". It matches the Rfam family "tRNA". From Rfam's summary of the family: Transfer RNA (tRNA) molecules are approximately 80 nucleotides in length. Their secondary structure includes four short double-helical elements and three loops (D, anti-codon, and T loops). Further hydrogen bonds mediate the characteristic L-shaped molecular structure. tRNAs have two regions of fundamental functional importance: the anti-codon, which is responsible for specific mRNA codon recognition, and the 3' end, to which the tRNAs corresponding amino acid is attached (by aminoacyl-tRNA synthetases). tRNAs cope with the degeneracy of the genetic code in two manners: having more than one tRNA (with a specific anti-codon) for a particular amino acid; and 'wobble' base-pairing, i.e. permitting non-standard base-pairing at the 3rd anti-codon position. Lineage: Bacteria; Bacillati; Bacillota; Candidatus Fermentithermobacillia; Candidatus Fermentithermobacillales; Candidatus Fermentithermobacillaceae. The record is from RNAcentral.
GCGCCCGUAGCUCAAUCUGGAUAGAGCUGCAGACUUCGGAUCUGAAGGUUGCAGGUUCGAGUCCUGCCGGGCGCACCA